Megalobrama amblycephala (Wuchang bream) is the source of this 1484-nucleotide long non-coding RNA. RefSeq lists it as uncharacterized. The transcript is spliced from 2 exons. The record is from RefSeq and is a predicted model, not a curated record. Lineage: Eukaryota; Metazoa; Chordata; Actinopteri; Cypriniformes; Xenocyprididae.
GAAUGUUUUCCCAAAAGCCCCGAAUCUUUCAGCGCGUUCACGCACACCGCAGCUGAACACAGACACGCCUCCUGUCACUCACUCAGAGCAGCGGCAGGCCUCGAGACUCUCGUUCGGUCCGGUUGAAGGGUUUUUGUUAUGAUAUGAACAGCUGAUAUCACAACUUUAGCACAUUUGUCAGCUAAACAUUCAUUCAAUGUUUCCCAAUGACCCUGUGCUGCCGCCACCGUUUCAUCAUAAACCGAAAAUUUAAAACGUACAAAGCUUAAACGGUCUCUAAGUUGUAUUUUACCAACGAACUGAAAUCGAAACCGUGAUAUGGCUUUGUGCCUUUAUAAAACAGCAAAAUACAGUGAUUAAGUAUUAAAAUUUUAUUAAUAAUUGUUUGGCAUCCUAAAACACAAUGUAGACUGAGACUUUAUAUCACAACUAUAAAGAUGUUUGAGCCCUCUUUAAUGUCCAGUUACAAGUCAAUGCUGUUUCUUUGUUCAAUUUGCAUACUGUAUGGGCUUAAACUCUUAAGUUUUGAGCUCUCAAAGUGCACCAGAUUGAUGAAUUUAACCUUAAAAUGUACAAAAUUUUCUUACGGUGGGGCAUGACCCCGGACCCCCCUAGAGGAGGUACACCCAACAAACUUUUACAAAUUACAGUGCCAAACAAUUUACAUUUUCUCAACAACAAUACUACAAGAAAAGCUCCUUUCAUGUCAGUAAAGCUGUUAACAUAAAAUUAAAAUGUCUUUGGACAAAUAUUGAUUUGGGCUAAGCCCCGGAUGUUUACACUGUAUGGCUCCGCCCUGUAUACAGUAUGCAAAUUAAAAUAUGUUAAAGACAAGAGAGAGAAAGCGCUGCCGGUGUAUGGAUGCCUAUAAUGAAUACUGGCGAAAAGUGAUAUUGAACUGUUUAACAUAUUUCAAUAGAGAGAUAUGUUUACAAAAAUGAUAUUUUGAGAGCACUGUUAAGAAACCUCAAACCUGAAAGGGGCUCCAGCCCCCUUAGCCCACCCCUAGCGUCGCCCCUGGCUUACAGUAAGUGAUAACUUGUGUAUUUGAAUCACAUCACAUCCACUCCAUCUGAAAUAUCUCAACCUCUUACAAGACAACUGGAAACUUUAUAAAAUCAACAUAGUUUAACAGUACUGUAUCUGAAACAUCUAAAAUAUCUCUAAAACAGCUGCGCUCUGACUAACAGGGUCUCUCCAGUGUUCACUGAAGUCCACUUCAUUUGACAAAAUGAGUUCAUUUGAACACCCUGAAAAGUCAUCAAACAUAGUCUUGCAUGGGUGAUUUUUUAGGUUUGAUAAUAUAAAAUACCUCUGUAAAUCAAUAUAAUAUAAAUUAUUGUUAAAUUUAUACAUUUAGUAAUUACUAUAGUAACUACAUGUAAUGUGUAACAAGGACACUGUAAAUUGAAGUGUUACACACACUUUGAACAGCCGCAUAUAAACCACAUGUGGGAUUAAUAAAAAUCAAUAAUAAUGCCAAA